This is an RNA transcript of Otolemur garnettii (small-eared galago), 4976 nucleotides long. It is a transcript of the gene named solute carrier family 25 member 15, with no coding region annotated. The transcript has 7 exons. The record is from RefSeq and is a predicted model, not a curated record. Lineage: Eukaryota; Metazoa; Chordata; Mammalia; Primates; Galagidae.
UAAGGAAAUACCAAACAGCCACCACCUUAUCAUCCUAGUAAAUGGUACUGUUUCUCCAGGUCUUUGAUCAAUAACAUAAAAAUCAAUGGCUUGUACUUCUAACUUAGAUGCUUUAUUAAGUAUUGUGCCUUUAUUGUUGCCACUUUAAAAUUUUUGUAAAGAAAGGAAGAUUCUUGGAGUCUUGUUGCUGGCAAAUGCUUUAAGGGGUUAAAAAAUUUCUUGGUGUCUAACCUUUUCUGUAUAUUUAGGCUGGCAUUGGCAUUCAUUUCGCAUCCAACUCACCAAUCCUCUCGGAGAGGUGGCCUGAAUGGGAGCACACAGCACCUCAGUGUGAUGAGGAAUAAAAUUGGUCCUUAUUAUUUGCAAAUAAGUUAUUUAAACAGCUUGAAAACCAAUACAGAAUUGGUUGCUGAAUUGUUUACUUUCAUCAUUUAUAUUAAUGAGCCACCAUUUCUUUUUCCGGUCAAUAUUUAUUAAGUCUGUGCCUCAGCAAUAGUUGAUUUUUGCCUAAAGUUUGAGGAAUAGAUUUCUAGUUUUCCCAAACUUCCUGGGUGUCAGCCCAAACGUACAGAUAAUAUUAGCUACCAAGAAAUUUUUUUUUAGCCCUUUAAAGCUUUUGCCAAAGACUAGAGACUCCCAAGAAUCUCCCUUUCUUUACAAAAUACCCAACAGAAAGGCUUAGUAUAUGAAUGUGAUUUUCAUCAGGCAAAUUUGGUACUUGUUGGCCCACGUGUUGAUCUCAAAGUGUAAUUCUGUUGACUGGCAUUAGCAGCCUCAGUGGGCACUUUUUAAGACAGGCAGGAUCUUGGGUUCCCUGUGAGGCCUACUGAAUGAGAAGCUGCAUUUAAUAAGCUCCCCAGGUGACUUGGGUGCAUGUUUAGUGGACUGUGGUGACAAACAGUUGGUGUUCUGUGUUGGGCCUUGUAGUAAGAGCAUAUGAUGCCCAGUUCAGCAUCUCAUCAGUCUGGUGUGGCUAUCUGUGAUUGCCUUUGUAUUAUAUUUUCAUGCACCAUGUACUGUAGAUUUAGAGGCCCCAGGGUGGAGCAGUCAUUCAUAUCCAGGUGUAUGAGAGUUGGUACUCCUAACCUUUCUGCCUGCCUGCUCUUUUGAGGCCGCCUCUCUGUAACCUCCCCUUGGCCAUACAGCACAGGCUGCAGUCUGAAUUUAGAACUGAGCCUAUUGGAUAGAUUGUACAACUUAGGCCUCUGAAAACCUCUGAAAAUGUUGUUUGGGAUGUCUGUGGUUGGCUUAUUUACUUGGUGUUCAUUUUUAAGCUGCUCAGAAAGGUUAGUUGAAGUGUCACUGGUGGCUGUAGCAUUGAUACUCAGGGAAAGUUUUUGAUCUGUGAGAUUUUUAUGGAAUGGUCAAUCAGUAAUCUGCACACACUUUGAGCCCAUUUCCUUUGGGCUCAAUGUGGAGCCCAUUUCCUGGCUUCCAGAAGUUCAGGUUCAGUAACUUGGAUGCUGGCUUAGAGAAGGAGAGGCAGUAGAGGCUGCACUAAUAGUAAAUUUUUGCCUCCUCCCAGGGAUAUGCAGUGCCUGUCAUAAGCCCUAGAGAGUUACCUUGCACAGAGACCAGCGGAGGAGUGGGCAAACAUGAAGUCCAAUCCCGCCAUCCAAGCUGCCAUCGACCUCACGGCAGGGGCCGCAGGGGGGACAGCAUGUGUCCUGACUGGGCAGCCCUUCGACACCAUGAAAGUGAAGAUGCAGACAUUCCCUGACCUGUACCGGGGCCUUACUGACUGCUGCUUGAAGACCUAUGCCCAGGUGGGCUUUCGUGGCUUCUACAAGGGCACCAGCCCAGCGCUGAUCGCCAACAUUGCUGAGAACUCUGUCCUCUUCAUGUGCUAUGGCUUCUGCCAACAGGUGGUACGGAAGAUGGUUGGAUUGGACAAGCAGGCGAAGCUGAGUGAUUUGCAGAAUGCAGCUGCUGGUUCCUUUGCCUCUGCCUUUGCUGCGCUGGUGCUGUGUCCCACAGAGCUUGUGAAGUGCCGGCUGCAGACCAUGUAUGAAAUGGAGACAUCUGGAAAGAUAACCAAAAGCCAGAAUACAGUUUGGUCUGUUGUGAAGAGUAUCCUUAGAAAGGAUGGCCCUUUGGGCUUCUACCAUGGACUCUCAAGCACUUUACUUCGAGAAGUACCAGGCUAUUUCUUUUUCUUCGGUGGCUAUGAACUGAGCCGGUCAUUUUUUGCGUCAGGGAGAUCAAAAGAUGAACUAGGCCCUGUUCCUUUGAUGUUAAGUGGUGGAGUUGGUGGAAUUUGCCUCUGGCUUGCUGUGUACCCAGUGGAUUGUAUCAAAUCCAGAAUUCAAGUUCUUUCCAUGUCUGGAAAACAGGCAGGAUUUAUUGGAACCUUUAUUAAUGUUGUGAAAAAUGAAGGAAUAAUUGCCUUAUAUUCUGGACUGAAGCCUACUAUGAUUCGAGCCUUCCCUGCCAAUGGGGCACUAUUUUUGGCCUAUGAAUACAGCCGGAAGUUGAUGAUGAGCCAGUUGGAAGCAUACUGAAGUGUCCUGGAGGGCCUGCAUCCAAGCAUAGGUGUUGAGGACUACAGUUCAUCUCAGGGUUUCAUGGAGUACAAGACCAGUGUGGAAUUGUUUUGCUUUCUUGAGAAUUUAGUUUUUGUCUUUUCUACCCUAAAUCUUAAAUUUUAUGGAAGGACCUCUAUUUUACAUCAUAGUGUAUCUGUCCAUAAUGGAAGUAGAAAAAUUGCUGUUGCUUGGUAGAAUAUAUAGGGUGAUGAGUGGCCCUAUGCAUGCAAUUGAAAGACAGGACAUAAUUCUGUCAGGACCUUUGCCUGAACCUGGACUUGCACAUUAGGUUAGAUAGUUAUAUGUUGAGUGAACGGCAAUUUGGUUCCAUGUUUAAUCUCAGAUAUAACCAGAAAAACCCAGAGGUGACCAUAUUUCAUGAAGAUGGUUAUAAAUGAGUGCUUAACCCAUUUAAGAUAUAGAGUCUCUUUUUUGUUUUUUUUUUUUGGCCAAGGCUGGGUUUGAACCCACCAUCUCCAGCAUAUGGGGUCAGUACCCUACUCCUUUGAGCCACAGGCACUGCCCAGAUAUAGGGUCUUUUUAAAGGCGACUUAACAUGUGUACUAUUCUAAGUGAUUGAACUUUUUAAAAAGUUUAAUCUGGUGCGUGGAAACCAAAAUAUCCCUUUAGACUUUUAGAGAAUAAAUAUACUUGCAUACUGGUAUGGUUUCCACAUUCUAAAGUGUCAGAAUAGGUGUCCUGGAUUUUCCCAAGAUGCUCUACUCUUAAAUUAGUGCCAUUCAUUUUUGAGGUGGAAUCACAUUCCGCACUGACAAUAUAGCUACGUGUGGUCUUGUGGAUGUGAUCAGGGAGAGCUGAAGGGAGUGAAGUCAGGGGAGCUUAGGCAGUGAUAUGAGUAAUAGGGAGCAGCUGUAAAUACAGGUGAAUCUUUGCCUGCCUGCCUGCCACUCCUCACUAGUUCUGUGGCCCACUGCCUAACAGGCCACAGACCAGUACUGGUCUGCAGUUUGGGCAUUGGGAACCAUAGGCCUAGAAAAUCAGGCCUUUGCAAAAGAGCAUGGCCUUUAACAGCUCUCUUUCUUCUCUCCUAAAGAGCUUCCCCUCUUGCUGGGCUUUAGAUUGAGGAAAGGCCUGAAGGUAUUGGUGGUGCUGCUGUGUGUUGAUGAGGACCCAUGUGACUGACAGCAGCUUUUAAUUUCUAUUUCUGGGUCCUGUUGGCCCAUCUAGCACUAUCAAUCCACUUUGGAUCCCUCAGUCAGAUGCCUUUCCAAGGAAUAGAAGGUGCCAAAGCCAAGAGAAGCCUUUGUUCCUCUUUGGUGAUUAAGUGACAGUACUUAUGCGUGAAGUCCUCCCCUCUCAGAUACAACUAGAAAGCACUCAGUGCCUGUACUACACAGUGCAUAAUGUCAGACUUGCCCCAUUCUCAAAUUUACCUUGGGAUCCCUAAUUCCUUGCCUUGCUUUUACAGUGUUGGGACCUUAUACAGUGAGUUUUAAUGACUGUAUAUGAGAUGUGACUUAUGAAACAAUGAGACAUAAGAAAAGCAAUUUUAUUAAACUACACUGCAUGUAUGUAUGUAUUCACUGACUUAAAAAACCAACCAAACUCCACAGUUAAUUUGAUCCCUGUAGACUUGGGAUGGGCAGCUGUUCUUUGGCCAUAAGAGGAUCAUUUCUUUUACUACUAAAGUCAGCCUCAUCAUCCUGUGCUGCUCCAAGACCAGCAGGGUCUCUCAAUAAAAAGUCUCCUUCAGCAGCCUGCAGUGCUGAUGGCAAGCAGGCCAACCGUCUUAACAACAGUCCAUACCAUGUGUGUGUAUUUCUAUAGACAGAAUAUAAAUGUUGUGCAGAACCUCCAGUUUCUUAAACUUGAUGUUUUCUGUGAAGUCACUGUGGCACCUUUAGGCAUAGUGCCUGAAGCAUAGAGGGUCAGGGAAGUGAGAGGCUGACAAACAGGGGACUUUUGGGGAGGGGAUUCCUCCCCUCUCCUGGCUGUUGUGCUCCACAGUUAUGGUUGGUGUCUUCCAUUUGCUUUUUCUCUAAGAGAAAAUCAUUUCUGUACUUUGCUUUUCUCUCCAUACUGAACUGGUCAGUAGCUACUGAGAGGUAUUUCAUUUCAACAGGCCUAGACUGAAGCAAAAUGGAAAAUAGGGCUGGCUUCCACCAAGAAGCAAACCAUUUCAGCAUCCAUGGUACCCUGCCUGGGGCCCAGGAUGGGUCACAUUAGCCAUGUUAGCAGAUCUUAUCACAGGUCCUCCACUAAAGAUUUAAUUAAAUAUUCUCAAUGAGCAAUAGUUAGAGGCAAGUGGGAGUGAAGAAUGGAAACCUAAUUCAGGAGAAUUAUUUCUUUCUGUUUGGUUAAUUCAUGGUUUAAUAUUUGGGUACAGUUUGUACCAUUUUCAGAUCUGUACUCCAGACAAAAAUAUAAUAAUUUGAAAUGUUGUGUUUGAAGAAAUUUGAGUGUCUUAUCGUCAUUAAAUUAUUUACCUAA